This is a long non-coding RNA of Cyanistes caeruleus (blue tit), 1348 nucleotides long. Lineage: Eukaryota; Metazoa; Chordata; Aves; Passeriformes; Paridae. The record is from Ensembl.
CUGAAGAGGCCACACUUCUUGGUAGCAGCCUAGGAAUUAAGAUGACAGCAUUAAUUAUUUAUGCUGUAAAACAUCUUCGUUGUGCUGAACUUUUCUGGUGGACACUGACAGAGAAAUACCUGAGAGAGAAAAUGAUGCAGAUACAGCUUCAUAAAGGAGUGUGAAACAUCAUACCAAACCCAGGACUGGUAACCGCACUUCUUCCAGUAAUCAAGAACAACACAGCAUGAAAUUAUGCGGCAAGGACCAUAAGCAGCACAUAGAAGAAGAAAGAAAUAGAAGAACUAUUUAAUUUGAUCCAGGCAUGAAUUUCUAGAAAUAAUGGUAAAAGUCAUACCAUUUGCUGUCAUUUGCAAAAAGAGAACCAGGGCUAUCCUAUUAUGUUAUCUUUGUACCACACUGAACAUAAUAACAGCUUGAUUAAUAGCUGGCUCUUGUAGGCACAGUCACAAUGCAAUUAAGCAUGAAACAUCUUAUUAUUAACUUUCAAAAAUAAUUAGCCACCUUAGUCCCAGUUAGAAAAAAAUUACUUUAGUAGUUGGACAGUAAAACAUUAAUUCUGUAACUUGUGUUCUCUGAACCACCACACAGUGUGCAGAAAAUGAUCACAGUCUGUUAAUUCUGGGUGCUCAGAAUCCUAUCUGGUUAGGUGCUUUAUGGUGCCUAAAGUAGUUUGUUAUGGACUGACAACUGCAUUCCUUCAGGAGCCUUCCUGGACACAGGGUAGAAGCAUCAUUCUUUGUUCCCUCUGCAGACAGUAGGAAAGAGAUAUAUUACUUAAUUACUUAAUAAUUAAUAAUAAUUAUUUAUUAAUUAGUUUAUACUAAUAAUAUGUUCUCUCUGUAUCAGAUACAAAACUGAAAUGUGCUAAUCAAAAGCAUAUGUCAGCAGAUGACCUCUCUUCUACAGAAAGCACAUAUCAAACAAAUCAUGUUAUAAAUCAGUGAACUUACGGAUUUUUAUCUCAUCACCAAACUUGGCACUAAAUGUUAUAUGUAUUGGUGUAUUUGAACAUUGUCAGUAUUCAAGUUUUGUAGUUUGAGUUAUGGUGAGGUAGUGAGUGAUGUCAAACCUCUUCAAGCAACUACAGUUAUAUAGCAGUUUUUAUGACAGUAUAGCUUAUGUUACAGUAAAACACCCCAAUACCUUGCAGUAAAAAGGGUUUCUCAACAGAUAUAACUUAGCUACACUUCUGUUUUACCAGCUUAGUGAAAGAAAAAAAAUGGACUUUUUUUUUUUAAUAUUGUUUUAUAUAUUAAAAAAAUCUAAAAAUGUGUAAACUUGCAUUUUAUGCCUCUGUAUCUGACCAAUCGCUAUGAAAAUAAAAUAAAAGUGCUUCAAUGGAGCA